CAGUAGCCGCGGUAAUACGUAGGUGGCAAGCGUUGUCCGGAUUUAUUGGGCGUAAAGCGAGCGCAGGCGGUUUCUUAAGUCUGAUGUGAAAGCCCCCGGCUCAACCGGGGAGGGUCAUUGGAAACUGGGAGACUUGAGUGCAGAAGAGGAGAGUGGAAUUCCAUGUGUAGCGGUGAAAUGCGUAGAUAUAUGGAGGAACACCAGUGGCGAAGGCGGCUCUCUGGUCUGUAACUGACGCUGAGGCUCGAAAGCGUGGGGAGCGAACAGGAUUAGAGACCCCGGUAGUCCCUGUCUCUUAUAC
This 301-nucleotide ribosomal RNA is filed under the name uncultured bacterium. RNAcentral describes it as "partial 16S ribosomal RNA". It matches the Rfam family "Bacterial small subunit ribosomal RNA", at positions 509 to 807 of the family's 1533-position model. The record is from RNAcentral.